AGUGAACGCUGGCGGUAGGCCUAACACAUGCAAGUCGAACGGCAGCACAGUAAGAGCUUGCUCUUACGGGUGGCGAGUGGCGGACGGGUGAGGAAUACAUCGGAAUCUACUUUUUCGUGGGGGAUAACGUAGGGAAACUUACGCUAAUACCGCGUACGACCUACGGGUGAAAGCAGGGGAUCUUCGGACCUUGCGCGAUUGAAUGAGCCGAUGUCGGAUUAGCUAGUUGGCGGGGUAAAGGCCCACCAAGGCGACGAUCCGUAGCUGGUCUGAGAGGAUGAUCAGCCACACUGGAACUGAGACACGGUCCAGACUCCUACGGGAGGCAGCAGUGGGGAAUAUUGGACAAUGGGCGCAAGCCUGAUCCAGCCAUACCGCGUGGGUGAAGAAGGCCUUCGGGUUGUAAAGCCCUUUUGUUGGGAAAGAAAAGCAGCAGGUUAAUACCACGCUGUUCUGACGGUACCCAAAGAAUAAGCACCGGCUAACUUCGUG
RNAcentral lists this ribosomal RNA (492 nucleotides) under uncultured bacterium. RNAcentral describes it as "partial 16S ribosomal RNA". It matches the Rfam family "Bacterial small subunit ribosomal RNA", at positions 29 to 507 of the family's 1533-position model. The record is from RNAcentral.